GACGAACGCUGGCGGCGUGCUUAACACAUGCAAGUCGAACGGAAAGGCCCUGCUUUUGUGGGGUGCUCGAGUGGCGAACGGGUGAGUAACACGUGAGUAACCUGCCCUUGACUUUGGGAUAACUUCAGGAAACUGGGGCUAAUACCGGAGAGGAGCUCCUGCUGCAUGGUGGGGGUUGGAAGGUUUCGGCGGUUGGGGAUGGACGCGCGGCUUAUCAGCUUGUUGGUGGGGUAGUGGCUUACCAAGGCUUUGACGGGUAGCCGGCCUUGGAGGGUGACCGGCCACCUUGGGACUGCGGUACGGCCCAGACUCCUACGGGGGGCAGCAGUGGGGAAUAUUGCACAAUGGGCGGACGCCUGAUGCAGCAACGCCGCGUGCGGGAUGCCGGCCUUCGGGUUGUAAACCGCUUUCGCCUGUGACGAAGCGUGAGUGACGGUAAUGGGUAAAGAAGCACCGGCUAACUACGUG
Molecule: ribosomal RNA, 468 nt
Filed under: uncultured bacterium
Lineage: Bacteria
Description: partial 16S ribosomal RNA
Rfam family: Bacterial small subunit ribosomal RNA
Source: RNAcentral